AUGAGAUUGCUGAUAUAAAAAUUGUCUUGUGAAGGAAAAAGAACCACAAGGAGCGAGAAUAAUUUGAGAGAAAGUUAAAAGACAAACUUUUAUAGUGCCCACUUUUAAUGGUUAAUCAAUUCUUGGAAAAAGACGAAACUAGAAGGAUGUCAGGCGCUGCCGUUUAAGUUCAAAGCCAUGUUUUUGAGAGCUUUGCCUUGCUGAUCAAACCAAAAUGACAGUAAUUUUUUUCAAAUGGUCAAGAGAUAAUCUUUUGAGAGAAGAAAGAAGCCUCCUUUUUGAGACAAUCUUCAGUAUAGAUAUCCAAUCCAAAUUCUCAAACCUCCCGAGGCCCAACACCCCUCUCAAGUUCUCAAACAAACAAAUUGAGUCCCCACCAACCAAUAAUGUAAUCAUCUAACCAAUUAACCAACCAAAUCUCAGCAGCCCCUUCUCCCUAUCCUUCAAUCUUUGACCUCAAGUUCUCCAAAAACCAACAAACACAGAUCAUAUAUCAA
RNAcentral lists this long non-coding RNA (497 nucleotides) under Gossypium barbadense (sea-island cotton). RNAcentral describes it as "long non-coding RNA (GBAR_LNC021124)". Lineage: Eukaryota; Viridiplantae; Streptophyta; Magnoliopsida; Malvales; Malvaceae. The record is from RNAcentral.